UUCCGGGUUCGCGAGCGGCUACCGGCACCUGUUAUGCCCAACAGACCCUGAAUUGCCCCGGUUGUGGAGGACGUGGUUGGAAAUACUGCUGAGACGGGGAACUGGAUCCAAUUCAUACCCCUCUCCAGGCUGUGAAGGGGCAACAUAUGCUCAGAGUGAACUCUCUUCAUUCCUGUUUGUGGACGGGAGACAAGGAACACAAACGUAUACACGUGGCAAUGUGUUGAGGCCGGCAAAAUUAUCAGACAUUGCUUGGUUCCCACAAGAGUCAGAACGUAUUGAUGUUCCCGCUCGUUUGAUCAUCCAGUGUCACAGAUUCUUACAAGUGUUUUUUGUCUGGGAUGCAAACACGUGUGCUGCAGAUACGUAAAAACAAGAGGAACAUGUAAGUAUUAUCACACUGCUGACACAAAUUCAUCUGAGAUUUAGCUUUCAUCAUUGCCGGUGCUGUCAAAGUAGAGUAACAAGAGCAGAACACAAAAACACAGCUGCACGUAGUAUUUCGCCAGUGGAGUUUUAACGUGGAACACCAACCACCAAACACUCUGGAACUUACGUUUUUUUCUGCAUACUGUAAUCAUGAAACACACCACAACAAAUAUAAUAGUACCACUUAUUCAUGGUCUACAAUACAGGAGGUCAUCCGUCAUCUCUCUAUGUAUGAGUUCCAGUCCUACGAUGGCUUACUAUAUGUGUAAAUUAUAUUUAAAAUAGGAAAUAAGUCACUCCACACCGGCCAUAGAACACACAAAUACAGUAAUAAAAAGAUUAAAUAGGGGCGUUGCAAGGGAGGGAGAGAUGCUUAUUGGGAGGAGGAAUAAUCCUGCUUAGUUAUCACUGUC
Molecule: non-coding RNA, 842 nt
Organism: Doryrhamphus excisus (bluestripe pipefish)
Lineage: Eukaryota; Metazoa; Chordata; Actinopteri; Syngnathiformes; Syngnathidae
Source: RefSeq, a predicted model, not a curated record